ACGGAUCCUUCGGGAUUAGUGGCAGACGGGUGAGUAACGCGUGGGAAGCUACCUUGUGGUAGGGGACAACAGUUGGAAACGACUGCUAAUACCCUAUGAGCCCUAUGGGGGAAAGAUUUAUCGCCAUGAGAUGUGCCCGCGUUAGAUUAGCUAGUUGGUAAGGUAAUGGCUUACCAAGGCGACGAUCUAUAGCUGGUCUGAGAGGAUGAUCAGCCACACUGGGACUGAGACACGGCCCAGACUCCUACGGGAGGCAGCAGUGGGGAAUAUUGGACAAUGGGGGCAACCCUGAUCCAGCCAUGCCGCGUGUGUGAUGACGGCCUUAGGGUUGUAAAGCACUUUCAGCAGUGAAGAUAAUGACAUUAACUGCAGAAGAAGCCCCGGCUAACUUCGUGCCAGCAGCCGCGGUAAUACGAAGGGGGCUAGCGUUGUUCGGAAUCACUGGGCGUAAAGAGUACGUAGGCGGACUGAUAAGUUAGGGGUGAAAUCCCAAGGCUCAACCUUGGAACUGCCUUUGAUACUGUCAGUCUUGAGAUCGAGAGAGG
RNAcentral lists this ribosomal RNA (545 nucleotides) under Pseudovibrio sp. Pv276. RNAcentral's name for it is "bacterial SSU rRNA". It matches the Rfam family "Bacterial small subunit ribosomal RNA", at positions 66 to 657 of the family's 1533-position model. Lineage: Bacteria; Pseudomonadati; Pseudomonadota; Alphaproteobacteria; Hyphomicrobiales; Stappiaceae. The record is from RNAcentral.